RNAcentral lists this ribosomal RNA (494 nucleotides) under uncultured bacterium. RNAcentral describes it as "bacterial SSU rRNA". It matches the Rfam family "Bacterial small subunit ribosomal RNA", at positions 359 to 863 of the family's 1533-position model. The record is from RNAcentral.
GAAACUGGCGCGUAGAAUGACGCAGCGACACCGCGUGGAGGAUGAAGUCUCUUGGGACGUAAACUCCUGUCAGCAGGGAAGAUAAUGACGGUACCUGCAGAGGAAGCAUCGGCUAACUACGUGCCAGCAGCCGCGGUAAGACGUAGGAUGCAAACGUUGUCCGGAUUUAUUGGGCGUAAAGAGUUCGUAGGCGGUUAUUUAAGUCUGACGUUAAAGACCGGGGCUCAACCCCGACAUGGCAUUGGAUACUGGAUAACUUGAGUUCGGUAGAGGUAACGGGAAUUCCUGGUGUAGCGGUGAAAUGCGUAGAUAUCAGGAGGAACACCUGUGGCGAAAGCGCGUUACUGGACCGAUACUGACGCUGAGGAACGAAAGCCUGGGUAGCGAAAGGGAUUAGAUACCCCUGUAGUCCAUAGCCCCUUGUGUGGCCACAGAGGUUUCCCCGAAGAAUGGCGGGCGGGAGAUGAUUCGUUUUUGUUUCGAUUACUCCCCUU